CCUACGGGGGGCAGCAGUGGGGAAUCUUGCGCAAUGGGCGAAAGCCUGACGCAGCGACGCCGCGUGAGGGAUGAAGGUCUUCGGAUCGUAAACCUCUGUCAGCAGGGAAGAACGGUCACUGUGCUAAUCAGCCAUGAAUUGACGGUACCUGCAAAGGAAGCACCGGCUAACUCCGUGCCAGCAGCCGCGGUAAUACGGAGGGUGCGAGCGUUAAUCGGAAUUAUUGGGCGUAAAGCGCUCGUAGGCGGUAUGUCAAGUCAAGGGUGAAAUCCCCGCGCUAAACGUGGGAACUGCCUUUGAAACUGGGAAACUGGAGUGUGUGAGAGGAGAGUGGAACUCCAGGUGUAGGAGUGAAAUGCGUAGAUAUAUGGAGGAACAUCAGUGGCGAAGGCGACUAUCUGGCACAUAACUGACGCUGAGGAGCGAAAGCGUGGGUAGCAAACAGGAUUAGAUACCCCUGUAGUC
RNAcentral lists this ribosomal RNA (465 nucleotides) under uncultured bacterium. RNAcentral describes it as "partial 16S ribosomal RNA". It matches the Rfam family "Bacterial small subunit ribosomal RNA", at positions 338 to 795 of the family's 1533-position model. The record is from RNAcentral.